Bos indicus x Bos taurus (hybrid cattle) is the source of this 1343-nucleotide long non-coding RNA. Lineage: Eukaryota; Metazoa; Chordata; Mammalia; Artiodactyla; Bovidae. The record is from Ensembl.
UCCCUAGAGUGCUUCAUCAGAAUGUGUGCGGGGGUGGGACAGCCUCUGCAUUCUGUCUGAGAGAAGAGGUGAUAUAAUUUGUUGUGGCGGGGAGUGUGGGUCACGGUUUGUGGAAGGAGAGGGUGGCUUCGCGCAGAAGCAGGAAAACCAAAGUCAUGGCUGGAGUCGUCUCUCCCGCCAGAGCCAUCCGGGGCUGGAGGGGACUCUCAGUGACCACAUCACCUCCCCUCUAGGGCAGAGAAGAGCAGAGAGCCGGACUGCAGAGGCACUGAGCCCACUUUGAAGCUGGCAAGCCUGGCCUGCCCCUCCCGGAUGUGGCCUGCCAGCUGCAGACACUGACCCCGCACCCCCGAUGGACACUCCCGCUGCUCACGUGAUAAUGCAGAACUCCGGCCCUUAGCCAGUGCAGUCCGCAGAUGCUCAGCCAGCCAACCGGAUGAGGUCCGGACGGCAGAAGGCCAGCGUGUGCCGCCUGGUCUGCUCAACUGAUUGGCGGAGUGCAUCCUGGAAAAAAAGUGGACCUGAAAGAACCCAAUUCCAGAGGGAAGGCUCCCGAUGGCAGGUCACUCCCGCCAAGUCUGGGACUGAAGCCCCCACAAGAUUAUGGAGCUGAUUCUAGUCAGACUAGGUGAGACCCCGCUCCAACCUCCGUGACCUUGGGCAUCUUGUUACUCAUCUCUGUCUGUCUGUGAUACUGUUGUGACUGUGACUAAGUGUCGACUGCCAAUCAAAACAGUGGACAAGAAGUGACUGCUGGGUGCAGACUGGUGGUUCAGGUGACGGGUGUUAAUGGAGCUCAUUACAGCAGCUGAAGAUGGGAGAUCCAUCUAAAGGUGGGAGAGGAAGGAAAGGGAACAUUCCCAGGACCAACUUAGCUGAAGUUCCCUCCAAGUCACACUUCGUUUCUUCCCAUCCAUUCGUCCAACUCUGAACUGAGCCUAUGUCAGGACCUGCACUGAUCAUCAAACAUUACAUCAAACCAUGCCUUCAAAAAGCAGGCGCGUGGUGAAUGCCGGGUAAAUCACUACAAUUUACUGACUGUACCGUAACAGCUUUUUAUGCUAUUGGUUCUUUUAAAGCCAAAAAACAAAAACCCUGUGAGAUGUUUAUCAUUGUCAUCAGCCCACAGACGAAGAGUCUGAAGCCCAGGAAGUCUGAGUAAUGUGCGAAAGCUCACCCAGCUGGGCAGUUCUGUCGCCCACUGCUUGCAGCACGUUGCCAUUCGUUUCAGCUUUCCUUCUUCUUCUAGGACUCUUCUUCCUAUUUCCGAUCCCCUCCCUUCACCACACCCCUGCCACCUGACAGCCCAGCUCAUUGAUGACCACCUCCUGGUUUCUUUUCCU